RNAcentral lists this long non-coding RNA (4778 nucleotides) under Sus scrofa (pig). Its description in RNAcentral is "lncRNA (ENSSSCG00000052312.1)". The record is from RNAcentral. Lineage: Eukaryota; Metazoa; Chordata; Mammalia; Artiodactyla; Suidae.
AAAUAUUUGGGAAUUUUCUAGGUAUCUUCCUAUUAUUGGUUUCUAAUUUAUUCUGUGGUCAAAAAAACAGUUUGUAUAAUAUUGUCCUAUUAAAUAUAUUAAGACUUGUUUAGCAUCCCAAAACAAGGCAUAAUAAAUUCAUAAAUAUUCUAGGGGGAAAAAAGUGUAUUCUGCUAUACUGGGCGGAGCACUCUAUAACUGUCAAUUGUGUCAAGAUGGUUGAGAUUGUUAAGUAUCCUGAUUUCUGCUUACUUGUUCUACCAAGUACUAAAGUAUUUAAAUUUCAAAUUUUGAUUGUAUGGUUGUCCGUUGCUCUUUGCAAUCUUAAUAGUGUUUAUGUAUUUUUUAAGCUCUGUUAUUAAUUAUAUAAACAUUUAGAAUAUUAUAUCCUCUUGAUGAAUUGACCUCUUUAUCAUUACAAAAUUCCCUGGUAGUAUUCUCUGCUCUGAAGUCCACUCCAUCUGAUAUUAACUUAGUCACUCCAGGUUUCUUUUGAUGGAUGUAGAAUAGCCUAGCCUUUUCUUUCUUUUUCACUUUUAUCUUACUCAUGGCUUUAUAUUUAAAGUAGGUUUUUUGUAAGCAGCAUAUAAUUAAGUCUUUUUUGAUUGUUUUAGGGUAGCAACUGUGGCAUAUGCAAUUUCCUGGGUUAGGGGUUGAAGUAGCCAGAUCAGAGUCAUGUCUGUGACCUACACCACAGCUCAGCUCACUGCAACGCAGAUCCUUAACCCACUGAGCGAGGCCAGGGAUCGAACCCAUGUCCUCAUGGAUAUUAGUCAGGUUCAUUAUCACUGAGCCACAACGGGAAAUCCAAGUCUUAUUUUUUAAAUCCAAUCUAUUUCUGGCUUUUAAUUGGUAUAUUUAGGCCAUUUACACUGAUGUGAGGUUUUUAGAUCGUAGAUAGUUUUCUAUUCAUACCAUCGUUCUUUGUUCUCCUUUUCCAUCACACUGGGAUCACUAUCUUCUAUUAUUCCACGUCCAAUAUCCUGAAAAUAGACUGUUUAUAUAUGUGUCUAUUUUUCCUUGGCUUGUUUAUUUCAGGUAAAAGAAUGAACCUAGUCUCUGUAACUCUAUGUUGCCCCAAAAUGGAAGUCCGUGGCAUCCACUUAAUAAACAAAAAAUUUAUUGUAUAAAAUCUGGGAAAAACAACCAUAACUGAUGAGCAGAUAAACAAAUUAUGGUAUGGCCAUGUCAUCAACAACAACAAAAAAAAUCUGAUAAAUACUAAAAUAUAGAUGAAAGCACCACUCUAACUGGAAGAAACCGGACACAAAGUUACUUAAUGUAGGAUUCCAUUUAUACAAAAUUCUAGAAGAGGAAAGUAAAAUGACAAAGCGGAACACUGGUAGUCAAGUUGAAGAGGGAGAGGGAAUGUACUGACUGCAAAAGAACAUACAAAAAACUUUUGAGAUGUGGAAAAAUACUCUAUAUCUUGAUUGCAUGGUGGUUAUGUGACUCUAGAUGUACAUUUGUAGAAAACUCAUUCAGUUGUACACUUAAAAUUAUUGAAUAUUAUUUUAGAUUAAUUAUAAAUUACACCUCAAUAGCUAAUUUUUAAAUGCUUUCAAGACCAACAGAAAGGAACAAUAGAAAAAUUCUAGUAUAUAAAGGAUCAUAUCAAUCCACAAGAAAAUCACCAACAUUCCAAAGAAAAGAGGGCUAAAUAAAAAACAUAAAGCUCUUGGGAAAUGAACGAUGCAAAACACUCAGUGCUAGUGAGGGAAGGAUGAACUAAACACUACCAAACACUUCUAGUGGAAAUAUGACUUGGCACAACUUCCUGGAAAGAAUUCAUUUUUCCAAGUUUAUGUUUAUACCACUGAAUAUUUCCUUCAAAGACUGUCCUAUGUGUGGGGUGUCUGGAGAAGUCUUAAACUAUUCCUACUUUUUGACCUAGUACAUCCAUACAUAGGACACUCUUUGAAGAAAAUAUUCAGAGGUAUAAACAUAUACUUGGAAAAAUGAAUGUCCAAAGCACAAUAGAGCCACAAAUAGCAUGAAAAAUUAAAAUUUAAUAUUAAAUGUAUUUAUUACUUUAAUACCAUAUAAUUCAUCUUUUUAAUAAUUCAUCUUUUUCAAGGUAUUCUCAUGAUCAUAAAAAAUUGUAUUUACAAAGAAUUGAAAUGAUGUGAAAAUGGUAUUGAUAUAAUAUGAAAUGAAUAACAAACAGGACACAUAGGUAUUUAAUUUCAUUUUUAUUAUCUGUAGUGACAUUAAUAUCGUGUGUUUGAAAGUCUCUAGGGAAAUAUACCACAAAGUUAAAAGUGUUAUUUCUAGUUGGUGGAAUUACAGGUCAUUUUUUUUUCUUCUUAUAAGCUUUUCUGAGUUUUUACAUCUUCUAUGUUAAUUCUACAUUCCUUAUGAAAGCAAAAUAAGAUAAACGUAUAUGUAUAUAUAAAUAUUUAAAUAUUGGUAAUCUCAAAUAAGAAACAGAAAAUUAGUCAAAGUUUGAUUGCUUUAAGGAAAUAAGUGAGAAUAUGUUCCCACCCCCCGUUAGGAAUAAAUUGCACUCUUUUUAAAGCAUAUCAAUUUCUUAUAAGCCACUGUCAUUAUAUAUACAACAGAUUGCAAGUUCUAUGCUUUCUCAAAAAAAAUUUUUUUUUUUACAUCUAACAUUUGCUGAUUCACAACUCUAUAAAGAUUAAAUGUAAGACCUUAGGGAAUCUAGUAUCUACAAGUCAAAAUCCCUUCCCUCAAGUCUUCUGAGGAAAGCUAGUUUAGAGAGUUCCAAUUGGAAAGCUGAAUAAGAUAUUAGUAGACCACAGCUGCCCUGAGAUUAAAAGAAAGAAAAAGAGUACAUCCAUUUACUUAUUCACUGUUUCACUGAAGAAAUAUUUACUGAAUACUUACCAGUUUCAAUCACUGUUUAACAUCUUGAUUUCACAGUAGUUAACAAAAUAGAUGUAAUCCCUGCCCUGAAAGUGAUUAGGCCAUUAACAAAUAGAGAAGGAAAUAUGUGAAACAAUUUGUAUUGAAGAAGAAACAAGCUAAAUUCAAUGAGAAAGUAAUGUAAAGAAGAAGAGCGUGAGAGAAUAGCAAAAUAGAUGAAAGAAUCAUGAAAGACUUCUCUGGGGAGGCAUCAUUUGAGUGGAGACUAAAGAAUGAAAAUGAAGUCAUCAUGCAAAGACAGAGGACCUUUAACCAAACCUGAGCUUGUGGUGUCUGUCCCUGGUAGUGAAACACCGGUGUAGUUAUAGACAGCAGGCAAGUAGCAGAGCAGAACACAGGAAGUUGGGAGAUGAGAUAGGGACUAGAUCAUGCAGAGUUUUAAACUUCUCAACAAUCAGAACAGACUGAAACCUGAGCCUCAUAUUUACAUUUUUGUCCUCUUUAAAAGGCAUUUAGCAAACAUGAAUUUCAAGAGGCAUUCUUGGAAAUGUUUAGGCAACUACAUGCACAAGAUGCUACAAGGACUUGAGCCAACUUAGACAUUCCAUUUGUUUUCUGUAUAGAACAGCAACAAUAGAGAAUAACAGGAUUCUUGUGAAGAAAACUUAAGGUGAGAUAUGCCGUGUACAGAGAAGGUAUUACUGUUCUGCAAAAAAGCAACAAUCAGUUGAGAAAGAGCAGAGGGAUCUUUUGUAUUAGAAAUAUAAAUUUAUUAGCAUUCAAUAACAUCCAAGUAGAGCUAUCAAAAAUAGCACUUCAGCACUGAUUCAGAACUGUAGGGUGCACUAUCAGCAUAAUUAAAAAGAAAGAAUCCAAGCCAUUUUCCCAACUUGCUUCCUUAUUAUUGUCUAAUUGUUCAGAAUGUCUGUCUGUUAUGGAGACAAAGCAAUUAAACCCAGCAAGUCGCAACAAUGGGGAUCAUAAAGCAGGGGUCUGCUUCAUUAGCAACUUGGAUAUCAGCAUAGAAAACAUUAAAGAAAGAAACGUAAUUGUAAUUGGAAAUAAUUGGAUAGCGCAGUUCGUUUAGCCUAGGAAGAUAUGCUAUCUGCCUUUGAAGGCUUUUUUUCAUCCCCUUUUAUGGGUUUUUCACAUGCGCUCUUUAAAUUGAGUUCCAUAAACAUCAUGGUAUCAUAGUUGAGGCACCAAGGGGCUUAGUGAGUACCAGACUCUUUUCCACAUAAGGGCACCUAUCCUCUGGGAAUCCAAAAGAAUUGUAUUUCAUGUUAACUGCCAACUGGCCCAGGAAGAAAAGAAAGGGGUCAAUGCUUCCGUUAAACACAAAUUGCCAUAAUUAAACCUCCUGUGUCUCUCACCCCACUUCUGAAAAAUACAGAGGUAUCUUCCAAAAACACAAGAUCUCUUGGAAAUAUAUUUUAAAAUAGUGAUCAUCCUUAAUAUAUUUGUAAUGCAAAAAAAAACUAUGUUACAAGCAGAAAGAAUCACAGACAUUUUUAGAUCUGGGAUUGACCAUAAUUUCCAAAGCCUCAUCAUUUAAAAGCUGAGGCUCAGAGAGGAGCCUGACAUGUCCCAUGCAAAAGCAAGUAGAAGAAUCAGAAGUAGAAAAUAUAAGUUCUCUAUUAAUAACAAUAUAAGGAUAAUCACAGCUACAAUAUACUCUAUUAAUACUAUAUAGUAGACACUAUGUUACAUUUCACAUACAUUGCAUCAUUUUAAUCCCAUAAAGUACAGGAAUUAUGAAUUCUAUAGAUAAGAAGACUAGUGCUCAGAGAGGUUAUACAACUUGAUUUACUGUCAUGUAAAACUGAGAUUUGAACAUGGCUGUGUCUGAUUAUGAAGCACAUCCAUGUAACUACCAAAUGAUCCCACCUCCAUAUACCAAGGGAAAAACACUAAGUAAUGUGUCCUAUUGUCCCUGUCACCAAAUCAGAAGU